Molecule: long non-coding RNA, 3054 nt
Filed under: Triticum aestivum (bread wheat)
Lineage: Eukaryota; Viridiplantae; Streptophyta; Magnoliopsida; Poales; Poaceae
Description: long non-coding RNA (TAES_LNC025888)
Source: RNAcentral
UCAAAUAAAUUAUUUUCAAGUCGCCUUCCCACCCACUGGUCCAGCCUAGUCUGGGAUGACUACAUCUUUUGAACAGGCUUGAUUUACAUCAUCUGCAUCUAAAAAUAGAGAAAGCAAGGAUGAGUACGACAAGUCAUACUCAGCAAGCAGAUACUUCACUAUUCAACAAGAGUAGAAUUUAAGGAUAUUGAUACAGUAACAACGGGUUGACUAUAUCUAAAGGAGCAUAAAUAACGUGACAAUUUGCUGGAGCCAAUUUAAUUGGAAAUAGGUAAAAGAACAACAUAACCGGAUAUAAUGAAAAUGGACCAAGAAAUUAUUGGCGUCACACAUGACCGCAAGCUUCCCAACCCGGGAGUCACAGGGGUGAAAUUUCACACUUUUACGCUCUUAAGAGAGGUACUCCGACGUCGACAGUCUCAACUAGAACCACACAGGCGCUAGUAGAGCAGAGCUCUUGUACCCACUAAGACUCGAACACCUGAACCUACUGAUGUCGAUCGCUCCCAUGGAUCCAUCAUCGACACGUUCCCGAACAAGGUCCGUCCUUAGUGGAGAACUCAGACAGUCCCAUACCUGAACUGUGACCGGUACAAUACGUUUGCCGUCGUGACACCAAUAUAGAUGGACAGAAUAUGACAUGGGGCUGGAUUAGCUAUAUAGGAUCACUGAAAUAUCAGCCAAGACAAUAAAACCAUGCCUUUACAUGAGUUCCUCUCGUAUCAGACUUUCCAUCAACAAAUGGAUCAUCAAGGACAACAUGUCCUUCAACAAAUGGAUUAUCAAAGACAACAUGUCCUCAAAUAAAACAGGAAUCAACAGAGGAUAAAUAAGAUUCAAGGUCUAGUAACAUAAUCAGAACGAUGAUCACAGGAGACAACAAUAAGAUAGGAUUCAAGAAGUUAGCAAAGUAACCACUUGCCUCGGAUAAUAUGAUUUGUCCUUUAGAAUAAUAUUCUGCCAGAAGAUGAAACUCCAAUACUCCAUCAUCUUUGUAUAGAAUCUGACGAACACACAUAUACUAAUAUUCUUCUGACGUAUGGCUCCGUUCUUCCCUCUAGCAGCAUCUACACGAUCUAUAUAUCUUCAAACAUGGACACAUGCAUACUUGUAUUCUUCAUCUCUCUUCUCUUCGCUCUCUCUCCGCUGGUAUGCUCUAUUUCUCUCAUGCUCUCACUCUUGGUGAUGAGGAUGUGCAAAACGAGUAGCAGCAGCUAUUUAUAGAUGGUGAGCCCAGAGUGAACUCAGCCGAGCUAUUCUUGAAGCACACGAUCAUCUGGACUCUACCUAUUACGUGGCAAGCAUGCAUUGGUGUACGUGGAGAACCUGGUAAAAGAUCAAGCCGCAAUGGCCUUUGACCCUUGCCCCUUGACCCUUCGAACUGCUGCCCCUUUUGCUUGUGCAAAAGCCAAACAAACCUGACCACUAUACAAAACCUCCACGUAGAAAUUUCUUGGUCCUAAAUAUCUAAGGGUGCUGCCAGCACAACCUAGCUUCAUCUAGUACCAGGCCACGUUGGCCCUCUCAUGCAUAGGAUUUUACUUAGCUUGUAAGCAUAGUACAUACGUGUGCAUUCUCAUCAUUACAUGCAUGCACAUCUUCUAGUAUUUGGCCAUCUUCUCAUUACUAGCUAGCCUGUACUACCCACUAAUUUGUAUUACUUUGCAUGCUAAUGCCUUAACGUGAGUGCAUGGAUGCUAGUCUAUGUGCAUAUAUACAUACUUACUUAGUGUGUAAUUAUAUCCAUCUAAUAUUUUAUGCAUGCAAAAAUUACAGUUCUAUUUUAAUCACUUGAAUCAAUAAUCUAGCAUAUCUUAUUUGCUCAAAUAUUUUAUGUUAAACAUAUAAUAGAAAUUUAAUUACUCAUCUUAAUUUAAAUUAAUAACCCUAAAAAAUCAGGGUUAUUACAUCCUUCCCACCUUAUAAGAAUUUCGUCCCCGAAAUUCAUUUCCACUAUUUUGUUAGUGGCCAAAUAUCCUCCGAUAAUAAUUGAGAUAGCUUAUUUGAUGUGUGCUGAAUAAUUAAUUAAUAAAAUGCAAACAUGAUUUGCAAUCUUUUCUCCUUUUCAUGGAUAUAUCUGCUAUAACAUAAGUUGGCAACACUAGUCAUUUUAUUUGGUAAGGUCAUUAUCAAAAAGGAUAGAUGGUGGUAUAGUAAUUGUCCCAUUAUUAGAUAAAUAUCACCAGUUGUCUUAAACAAGAAAAUCUACACAAAUAACAAGUCAUGAGUCAACAAAAUGUCUAUUUAUUUCCCAUGCAUCCUCAAAUUUCACCAAUAAUAUGUACGCUAUAUUUUUAUUUGCCUGGAUAUCUGCCAAAAAUAUUUGUGAGUAACAACACACAAACAAGUUGAGACAAGGUAUGAAAAUAAAAUCUUCAUACCUGUCACACAACACAAAUAUAUUCGACGAUCUACCCGUUUAUCCCAACGCAACCUAAAACCUAGAGCUUUGAUACCACUUUAACUGUCACGCCCCGAGACCGGGCCUAGGCGAGACAGCUGACGCGCGCCUAUAGACCAGGGGCCUAUAGUCACGCAAGGCGUGAUUAAGCAGGCAUAAACCAACAGUGGAUCACAAAAGCUCAUAUAUCUACUUUACAAGUCCUUUACAUUUACAAAAUGGCUCAAAUAAAUUAUUUUCAAGUCGCCUUCCCACCCACUGGUCCAGCCUAGUCUGGGAUGACUACAUCUUUUGAACAGGCUUGAGUUACAUCGUCUGUAUCUAAAAAUAGAGAAAGCAGGGAUGAGUACGACAAGUCAUACUCAGCAAGCAGAUACUUCACUAUUCAACAAGAGUAGAAUUUAAGGAUAUUGAUACAGUAACAGCGGGUUGACUAUAUCUAAAGGAGCAUAAAUAACGUGACAAUUUGCUGGAGACAAUUUAAUUGGAAAUAGGUAAAAGAACAACAUAACCGGAUAUAAUGAAAAUGGACCAAGAAAUUAUUGGCGUCACACAUGACCGCAAGCUUCCCAACCCGGGAGUCACAGGGGUGAAAUUUCACACUUUUACGCUCUUAAGAGGGGUACUCCAACGUCGACAGUCUCAACUAGAAC